RNAcentral lists this ribosomal RNA (427 nucleotides) under uncultured bacterium. RNAcentral's name for it is "bacterial SSU rRNA". It matches the Rfam family "Bacterial small subunit ribosomal RNA", at positions 355 to 774 of the family's 1533-position model. The record is from RNAcentral.
UGGGGAAUUUUGGACAAUGGGCGCAAGCCUGAUCCAGCAAUGCCGCGUGCAGGGUGAAGGCCUUCGGGUUGUAAACUGCUUUUGUACGGAACGAAACGGCUCUGUCUAAUACAUGGGGCUAAUGACGGUACCGUAAGAAUAAGCACCGGCUAACUACGUGCCAGCAGCCGCGGUAAUACGUAGGGUGCGAGCGUUAAUCGGAAUUACUGGGCGUAAAGCGUGCGCAGGCGGUUAUGUAAGACAGAUGUGAAAUCCCCGGGCUUAACCUGGGAACUGCGCUUGUGACUGCACGGCUAGAGUAUGGCAGAGGGGGGUGGAAUUCCGCGUGUAGCAGUGAAAUGCGUAGAUAUGCGGAGGAACACCGAUGGCGAAGGCAAUCCCCUGGGCCUGUACUGACGCUCAUGCACGAAAGCGCGGGGAGCAAACA